UCCCUGAUAGUCCAGUGGUUAAGACUCUGUACUGCCACUACAAGGGACAUGGGUUCAAUCCCUAGUCAGGGAA
RNAcentral lists this transfer RNA (73 nucleotides) under Ovis aries (sheep). It matches the Rfam family "tRNA". From Rfam's summary of the family: Transfer RNA (tRNA) molecules are approximately 80 nucleotides in length. Their secondary structure includes four short double-helical elements and three loops (D, anti-codon, and T loops). Further hydrogen bonds mediate the characteristic L-shaped molecular structure. tRNAs have two regions of fundamental functional importance: the anti-codon, which is responsible for specific mRNA codon recognition, and the 3' end, to which the tRNAs corresponding amino acid is attached (by aminoacyl-tRNA synthetases). tRNAs cope with the degeneracy of the genetic code in two manners: having more than one tRNA (with a specific anti-codon) for a particular amino acid; and 'wobble' base-pairing, i.e. permitting non-standard base-pairing at the 3rd anti-codon position. Lineage: Eukaryota; Metazoa; Chordata; Mammalia; Artiodactyla; Bovidae. The record is from Rfam by way of RNAcentral.